UAGGGAAUCUUCCACAAUGGGCGAAAGCCUGAUGGAGCAACGCCGCGUGUGUGAUGAAGGGUUUCAGCUCGUAAAACACUGUUGUAAGAGAAGAAUGACAUUGAGAGUAACUGUUCAAUGUGUGACGGUAUCUUACCAGAGAGGAACGGCUAAAUACGUGCCUG
RNAcentral lists this ribosomal RNA (164 nucleotides) under uncultured bacterium. Its description in RNAcentral is "partial 16S rRNA". It matches the Rfam family "Bacterial small subunit ribosomal RNA", at positions 355 to 511 of the family's 1533-position model. The record is from RNAcentral.